This 211-nucleotide ribosomal RNA is filed under the name uncultured bacterium. RNAcentral describes it as "partial 16S ribosomal RNA". It matches the Rfam family "Bacterial small subunit ribosomal RNA", at positions 123 to 334 of the family's 1533-position model. The record is from RNAcentral.
AACCUUCCUUCGAGCGGGGAAUAGCCCAGAGAAAUUUGGAUUAAUACCCCAUAGUAUUGCAGAGUGGCAUCACAUUGCAAUUAAAGAUUUAUCACUUGAAGAUGGCUGUGCGGCUGAUUAGGUAGUUGGCGGGGUAACGGCCCACCAAGCCUGCGAUCAGUAACUGGUGUGAGAGCACGACCAGUCACACGGGCACUGAGACACGGGCCCG